CUCUCUCUCUCUCUCUCUCUCUCUCUCUCUCUCUCUCUCUCUCUCGCUGAAGCUCAGUUGAAGGCUAACUCAUUCACGACCGUGAGAUGGAGAUGCAGUUGCUUUACUCCAAGCUUCAUGAUAAGUAUACAGAGCUGAAUAUGAGAAAGGAAUCUAAGAUUGAGCAGUACAACCAUGAACAGAAUCAAAGUUAAUGAAUUACAUAUCUGGUACUCGUUUUCCUCAUCAUAUUUAUUAUCCUUCAUUUACUUCAUUUAGUUUUAUUGCAUUUUUUUUUAUCAUGCUUCAAAAUUGUCACCAACACCUAUUACGUCAGUCAAUAUCUCUAUUGAACUGUAUUAUGCUUUUAAUAAUCUACUUCUUUUCUUUCUUUUUUUUUCCCUUUUAUGUUCUUUUCUUCAGAUCCUACUACAUGGACAGCCCCAUUUCUUCAAAACCAAUCUGCCUUGACUUUUUUGUGGUAGCAUAUGGCCUCUUCAUGAAACAAUUUCUUAAUAUAUUGCAUGCUUUCUGAACCCACUGUCAUGUUAAUCUCUUCUUUCUGUAUUAUUUUCCCAGCU
Molecule: long non-coding RNA, 560 nt
Organism: Magnolia sinica
Lineage: Eukaryota; Viridiplantae; Streptophyta; Magnoliopsida; Magnoliales; Magnoliaceae
Exons: 3
Source: RefSeq, a predicted model, not a curated record